RNAcentral lists this ribosomal RNA (355 nucleotides) under uncultured Anoxybacillus sp. RNAcentral's name for it is "bacterial SSU rRNA". It matches the Rfam family "Bacterial small subunit ribosomal RNA", at positions 1026 to 1382 of the family's 1533-position model. Lineage: Bacteria; Bacillati; Bacillota; Bacilli; Caryophanales; Anoxybacillaceae. The record is from RNAcentral.
ACAGGGUGACAGGUGGUGCAUGGUUGUCGUCAGCUCGUGUCGUGAGAUGUUGGGUUAAGUCCCGCAACGAGCGCAACCCUCGACCUUAGUUGCCAGCAUUCAGUUGGGCACUCUAAGGUGACCGCCGGCUAAAAGUCGGAGGAAGGUGGGGAUGACGUCAAAUCAUCAUGCCCCUUAUGACCUGGGCUACACACGUGCUACAAUGGGCGGUACAAAGGGUCGCGAACCCGCGAGGGGGAGCCAAUCCCAAAAAGCCGCUCUCAGUUCGGAUUGCAGGCUGCAACUCGCCUGCAUGAAGCCGGAAUCGCUAGUAAUCGCGGAUCAGCAUGCCGCGGUGAAUACGUUCCCGGGCCUU